Molecule: ribosomal RNA, 508 nt
Filed under: uncultured bacterium
Lineage: Bacteria
Description: bacterial SSU rRNA
Rfam family: Bacterial small subunit ribosomal RNA
Source: RNAcentral
CAGAGAUGCUUUGGUGCCUUCGGGAACUCUGAGACAGGUGCUGCAUGGCUGUCGUCAGCUCGUGUUGUGAAAUGUUGGGUUAAGUCCCGCAAGGAGCGCAACCCUUAUCCUUUGUUGCCAGCGAUUCGGUCGGGAACUCAAAGGAGACUGCCGGUGAUAAACCGGAGGAAGGUGGGGAUGACGUCAAGUCAUCAUGGCCCUUACGGCCAGGGCUACACACGUGCUACAAUGGCGCAUACAAAGAGAAGCGACCUCGCGAGAGCAAGCGGACCUCAUAAAGUGCGUCGUAGUCCGGAUUGGAGUCUGCAACUCGACUCCAUGAAGUCGGAAUCGCUAGUAAUCGUAGAUCAGAAUGCUACGGUGAAUACGUUCCCGGGCCUUGUACACACCGCCCGUCACACCAUGGGAGUGGGUUGCAAAAGAAGUAGGUAGCUUAACCUUCGGGAGGGCGCUUACCACUUUGUGAUUCAUGACUGGGGUGAAGUCGUAACAAGGUAAGCGUAGUGCU